Molecule: ribosomal RNA, 253 nt
Filed under: uncultured bacterium
Lineage: Bacteria
Description: partial 16S ribosomal RNA
Rfam family: Bacterial small subunit ribosomal RNA
Source: RNAcentral
UACGGAGGGUGCAAGCGUUAAUCGGAAUUACUGGGCGUAAAGCGCACGCAGGUGGCUGAGUCAGUCGAUUGUGAAAGCCCUGGGCUUAACCUGGGAAUUGCAGUCGAUACUACUCAGCUAGAGUAUGGGAGAGGGUAGUGGAAUUCCCGGUGUAGCGGUGAAAUGCGUAGAUAUCGGGAGGAACAUCAGUGGCGAAGGCGGCUACCUGGCCCGAUACUGACACUCAGGUGCGACAGCGUGGGGAGCAAACAGG